GUUGCAUGGUUGAUUAACCCAGAGCGUCUUUUUCUUUGCUGCGACAUCCUGAAAUCGGAGUGCCGGUUGAGGAUCGCGGCCAGGAUGGCUCUGCGCUCUGCGCCCUUCCUGCUCCUGGUGUUGGUGUCCGUCGCUUUAGGAGAGAACCGCUUUGGUGCUUCCUCCCACUCCAUGAAAUAUUUCUCCACCGCCAUCUGGGAUCCCGGUCAGGGGCUGCCCCACUUUGUCACUGUGGGGUACGUGGAUGGUCAGGUCUUUGUUCACUACGACAGCCACAGCCGGAGGAUGAAGCCUCGAGUCUCCUGGAUGGAGAAGGUGGGGAAGGAGGAUCCCCAAUACUGGGACACAGAGACCCAGAAAGCACGUGGCCAUGAGGAGGUGUUCAGAGAAGACCUGAAAAUUCUGAGGAAUCGCUACAAUCAGAGUGAAGGACUUCACAUAAUACAGUGGAUGUCUGGCUGUGAGCUCUGGAGAGACGGGAGCAAAGGAGGGUUUAACCAGCAUGGCUACGAUGGGAGGAACUUCAUCACCUUCGACAAGGAGACCCUCACCUGGGUGGCUCCCGAUCCCCAGGCCCAGAUCACGCAGAGGAAAUGGGAUGCUGUCCCAGGAUGGAAUCAGGGAUGGAAGACCUACCUGGAGGGGGAAUGCAUUGAGUGGCUGGAGAAGUACUUGUCCUACGGGAAUGAGACACUGCUGAGGACAGAACCUCCAGUGGUAACAGUAAGCAGAAGGAAAGUCAAGGAUGGGAUGGAAAUGCGGGUCUGCCGCGUGGAUGGCUUCUACCCCAGGGCGAUCGAUGCCUCCUGGAGGAGGGACGGGGAGGUCUGGCUGCAGGGCACCUCCAAUAGGUCUGUGGCCCCCAACAUGGAUGGGACCUACCACUACUGGCUCAGCAUCCAGAUCAAUCCCAAAGAGAGGGACCACUAUCGGUGCCACGUGGAGCAUGACGGGCUGCAGGAACCUUUGGAUGUGGCCAUAAAAGAUCCCCCAGUGGUGACAGUAAGCAGAACGGACGACAAGGAUGCGAUGGAGGUGCACGUCUGCCACAUGGAUGGCUUCUACCCCAGGGAGAUCGAUGCCUCCUGGACAAGGGACGGGGAGGUGUGGCUGCAGGAUACCUUCCGUGGGUCUAUGAUCCCCAAUGUGGAUGGGACCUACCACUACUGGCUCAGCAUCCAGAUCGAUCCCAAAGAGAGGGACCGCUAUCGGUGCCACGUGGAGCAUGACGGCCUAGAAGAGCCUCUGGACGUGUCCCUGAAGGGUGAGACGCUGCAAGAAUCCAACCUGGGCCUCAUCAUCGGCUGCAUUGGGGCUGCUCUUGCCCUGGUGUGUGUGAUUGUUGGGACUUUGAUAUUCUUCAAAAAACGUCGGAAUGGCUAUAAAGCAGCGUCAGCAAGCGACAACGGAUCUGACAGUUCAGGCCCUGGCUGCUUUUCCAUCUUUGGAGUAAAGAGCCCAUCAGCUCUAGGGAGGAAAAUAGGAAAACCAGCAGUGAUGCCAUGAGCCGGUUAUGGUGGCCCAGGGGUGAAAUGAAGCAACCAGGUCAUUUAGCAGCCCCCUCGCAGGUUUUUAUUUAAAAAUAUAAACAAAUGAUUCGAUUGGUCAAGAAAGGUUCUGCAUUUGGUUUGCUGGAAAAGAUUGAAAAGAAUAUGAAUAUAAGAAACUCUGAGAUUACAAGAGGUGACGAAAAAUUGACUAUUUUUUUGGCAAGAGAAAUUCUCCGUUUCUGAGGAAAACUUUUCAACAACGAAUGUUGCAGAGAUGUUUACAACAGAGACUUAUGAACUUUGGAAAUGAGAUGCAAUUGUUGGUAAAGUUCCUAAUUAGAAACCUAAGGAAAAGUUCCCCAAUUAAGAACCAAACAAGGGUACAAGUAGUCCCCGACUUACAACAGUUUAUUUAGUGACCAUUCAAAGUUACAAUGGCACUGAAAAAAGUGACUUAAUAUCAUUAUUCACACUUAUGACCAUUGCAGCAUCCCUAUGGUCAUGUGAUUUACCCUCAGAUGCUUGACAACUGGUUCAUAUUUAUGACGGUUGCAGUGUCCUGGGGUCAUGUGAUCCCCUUCUGGCAAGCAAAGUCAAUGAGGAAGCCAGAUUUGCUUAAUAAUGGUGUUAGUAAUUUAACAACUGCAGUGAUUCACUUAACAAAUGUGGCAAGAAAAGUUGUCAAAUGGGGCAAAACUCAUUUAACAAAUUUCUCACUUAGCAACAUCCAUUUUGGGCUCAAUUGGUAACAGCCUUGGUAGUACAGUGGUUUAAAGCACCCUGUUAUUAACACAGCUGCCUGCAAUUUCUGCAGGUUCGAAUCUUACCAGGCUCAAGGUUGACUCAGCCUUCCAUCCUUUCUAAGGUAGGUGAAAUGAGGACCCAGUUUGUGGGGGCAAUAAGCUGACUUUGUAUAAAUAUACAAAAGUAUGAAGGCUAUUGCUUAGCGCACUGUAAGCCACCCUGAGUCUCCGGAGAAGGGUGGCAUAUAAAUCAAAUUAACAAAUAAAUAAAUUGUGGUCAUAAAUUGAGGAUUAUCUGUAUUUCACCCGAUAAUAAUGUAUUUCACCGAGAUAAUAAUGAUUUGCAGUAAAUAAGAAACUGUGCAGACCUUUAUGAAUAAGUGAUGAUAACAGACUGUUAACAGAGUGUUUUGAUUUUUAACUAUUAACUAUUUUUUUAACUAUUAAUUAUUUUUCCUUUCACCUAUGUAAUCUACAACAGGUCAAUUAGGUUGCAAAUAGAUGGACAAAAUUAUAAAUUUAGGACCUCUUUUGCAAGAGAGGAAGGUAUUAUUGUUGCAAUAGUUUUCUCAUUGUUUAACUGGGCGGGAGGGGAUAAUACGUUUUUGUCUUUUUUAUUCACAUUUUUGUUCAAUGUUUUUAUUCAAUUUUGUUCUGUAUUCUUUUUUUUUUUUUUUGGAUUUUAAAUCUUUUCAAUAUAAUAAAAUUGUUAAUUCUAAGAAAAAUAGAACAAGA
Molecule: non-coding RNA, 2968 nt
Organism: Pantherophis guttatus
Lineage: Eukaryota; Metazoa; Chordata; Lepidosauria; Squamata; Colubridae
Source: RefSeq, a predicted model, not a curated record